RNAcentral lists this ribosomal RNA (990 nucleotides) under Triticum aestivum (bread wheat). Its description in RNAcentral is "partial small subunit ribosomal RNA". Lineage: Eukaryota; Viridiplantae; Streptophyta; Magnoliopsida; Poales; Poaceae. The record is from RNAcentral.
AUGACGCAAAAUAGGGCUAAGUGGACAGCAAGGUAUGAGAAAGGUCUCGUGGAGGUACUUACAGAGUACAAUCUAUCUCAUUACCGUGGCCAAAAUGGGUGGACUACCGAAGGAUGGAAUCAAGUUGUCAAGGAACUGAACAAUUUAUAUCCAGAGGCAAGGUUUACCAAGGAUCAGGUUCAAGAUAAGGAAGCUCAGUUGAAAAAGCACUACAAAAAUAUCAAGUUGAUAGUCAACCACUCUGGAAUAUCAUGGAAUGAUAUUGCAUGUGUGAUCAACACCACGCCUGAAAAAUGGGAAGAGAUCAUUGCAGAGGACCCAAAGCUCAAAAUGUAUGAAGGAAAGAGCUUUCCAUUGUACGAGGCAUUGGGUGUGCUCUAUGAAGGACACAUUGCGCAAGGAAGACAUUGCCUCACCUCAAGGAAGCCUCCGAUUGGCACAAAAACAGGACAUGGAAGAGAUGACAACGUAAGGACUUCUUCAAUAAUUGACAUCAAUGAUACUCCUACAUUAGAUGAUGUGGAUGAAAGAGAGAACACUGUCAAUGACGAGGAAGAAUUAGGCAGUGAAGAUGCUGAUGGCGAUCAACCACAAAUAAGUGAAUCAAGUGCGAAAGGGAAAAAAACUAAGAAAAAAAAAGGUGCCACAUCUGUACAGCGGCUUGACGAUUCCAUGAUGGCUUAUGUGAAUUUCAAGAAAGAUCAAGCUUCCAAGAAGAAAAAAAGUUCACAGCAAGGAAAACAACCCUCAAUUACAGAAUGCUUGCAGGUCUUGAAUGACAUGGAUGAUGUUCCCGACCAGGUCAAAAUCUUUGCCUCUGAUGUUUUCAAGGAUGCAGCAAAUCGUGAGAUUUUCCUGGGUUACAACUCAAGAUUGCGGGGUAUGUGGCUAAAGAAGGAAGUCGACAAGAUUAGUCCUCGGCCUCCUCCUUGUAAGUACCAUUAUCUUGGUUUUCUGCAUUUCUUCUCUCCACUAAAGAUAAGUUUGUAA